GUGUCAAAGUUUAAAUAUCCAGAAGUGUCUGAAGCUAAACCUACCAACACUGAUUUCAUUGAUUGAUUCCAAAUUCGUGAAUAAGUCUUCGACCAGUAUUUUUACGAAAAAAAUUCAUUAUGGGUUAUUUCACCUUCAUUACUGUUCUCACAUUUCUGAUAUUGAUCCCGGAUUCUGCAGAUUCCUGGUGUAAUUAUCCAUCAACAAGCCGCGCUGGAACAUACAGCGACUAUUAUGUUGGUGAAAUGAGCCUGGCUGAUGCAAAGAAAGGAAGGAAAAAACGUAAUGCCAUCUACCCAUGGACAUUCAGCCACAGUAUGAUUCUAUUUCGUGGCAUGGUUUUCGAAUGGGGCAUCGGAAAAAGUUACCACAUGUCACGUAGUCCAAGCUCCUGUCAGAUCACCUGGCGCAACAGCCGAGAAAGCUUUAGCAAGUGCACACUGAGCGACGCGAUUAACUGGACCAGAAGAUACGGAAGAUCAAAUACUUAUAAUAUUCUAUUAAACAACUGCCAUAUGUUUGUUAAUAGACUGGCCAGAUACCUGUAUAAGGACUGCGGA
Dendronephthya gigantea is the source of this 560-nucleotide long non-coding RNA. RefSeq lists it as uncharacterized. The transcript is spliced from 3 exons. The record is from RefSeq and is a predicted model, not a curated record. NCBI's taxonomy places the organism in Eukaryota, Metazoa, Cnidaria, Anthozoa, Malacalcyonacea, Nephtheidae.